This is a small nuclear RNA of Onychomys torridus (southern grasshopper mouse), 102 nucleotides long. The record is from RefSeq and is a predicted model, not a curated record. Lineage: Eukaryota; Metazoa; Chordata; Mammalia; Rodentia; Cricetidae.
GUUUGCUUCGGCAUAUAUAUUAAAAUUGGAACGCUAUGGAGAAGAUUAGUAUGGCCCCUGAGCAAGGAUGACACACAAAUUUGUGAAGAGUUCCAAAUUUUU